CUACUCUUGACAUCCUGCGAACUUGGUAGAGAUACCUUGGUGCCUUCGGGAACGCAGAGACAGGUGCUGCAUGGCUGUCGUCAGCUCGUGUUGUGAAAUGUUGGGUUAAGUCCCGUAACGAGCGCAACCCUUGUCCUUAGUUGCCAUCAUUUAGUUGGGGACCCUAAGGAGACUGCCGGUGACAAACCGGAGGAAGGCGGGGACGACGUCAAGUCAUCAUGGCCCUUACGAGUAGGGCUACACACGUGCUACAAUGGCAAGUACAGAGGGCCGCAAAGCCGCGAGGUGGAGCUAAUCUCACAAAGCUUGUCGUAGUCCGGAUUGGAGUCUGCAACUCGACUCCAUGAAGUCGGAAUCGCUAGUAAUCGUGAAUCAGAAUGUCACGGUGAAUACGUUCCC
This 399-nucleotide ribosomal RNA is filed under the name uncultured bacterium. RNAcentral's name for it is "bacterial SSU rRNA". It matches the Rfam family "Bacterial small subunit ribosomal RNA", at positions 975 to 1375 of the family's 1533-position model. The record is from RNAcentral.